GACGGAGGAUGCAAGCGUUAUCCGGAAUGAUUGGGCGUAAAGCGUCCGCAGGUGGCAGUUCAAGUCUGCUGUCAAAGACCGGGGCUUAACUUCGGAAAGGCAGUGGAAACUGAACAGCUAGAGUAUGGUAGGGGCAGAGGGAAUUCCUGGUGUAGCGGUGAAAUGCGUAGAGAUCAGGAAGAACAUCGGUGGCGAAGGCGGGUCUCUGGGCAGUAACUGACGCUGAGGAGCGAAAGCGUGGGGAGCGAACAGG
RNAcentral lists this ribosomal RNA (253 nucleotides) under uncultured bacterium. RNAcentral describes it as "partial 16S ribosomal RNA". It matches the Rfam family "Bacterial small subunit ribosomal RNA", at positions 524 to 776 of the family's 1533-position model. The record is from RNAcentral.